UUAAAUUCUGUUUUGAUCAGACACAGGCUAAUCAGCAUAGGUUCGACGCCCAGAGGCGCCGAAGCACAUCUCACUUCCACAGGUUUGAAGGAUGAAGGACCCAAAAGUCCAUCUUAUUAAUGAUCCCUCCGCAGGUUCACCUACGGAGA
This 149-nucleotide unclassified non-coding RNA is filed under the name uncultured fungus. RNAcentral's name for it is "sequence contains ITS1, 5.8S rRNA gene". Lineage: Eukaryota; Fungi. The record is from RNAcentral.